This is a long non-coding RNA of Oncorhynchus kisutch (coho salmon), 2748 nucleotides long. RefSeq lists it as uncharacterized. The transcript has 4 exons. Lineage: Eukaryota; Metazoa; Chordata; Actinopteri; Salmoniformes; Salmonidae. The record is from RefSeq and is a predicted model, not a curated record.
CUCUGGCAAGGCUCACUGACUUGGCAGGGGGCGCGCCCUGAUCGUUUCACGUCAUCAACAGGUGUUAGAAAGUGAAAGAAAAAAUGUUUGCGUGAGAUACGCUAGAAAUGAAACAUUCUACCUUCUUGGACUGAGCAAGCCUUACAUAUGCAGUUUUAAAAACGGUUAUUCGUUGUACUAAGAGUAGUAGUGUAAAGAUCUAAUUUAUAGUAAAAGCAUUGCAUGAAUCUAUCAUCAUAUUUGCAGGUCCGGGAAAAAUAGCAUUUUAUAAAAAUGUCGUGCAAUUCUACAUCAUUUUAUAUAUUACGGGAUAAUGGACAGAGAGAAAGGCCUAUGUGUUAAUUUCAUUUUCAUCCCGGAGUCGCCUCUUCACUUUUGACGUUGAGACGGGUGUUUUGCGGGUACUAUUUAAUGAAGCUGCCAAUUGAGGACUUGUGAGGCAUCUGUUUCUCAAACUAGACACUCUAAUGUACUUGUCCUCUUGCUCAGUUGUACACCGGGGCCUCCCACUCCUCUUUCUAUUCUGGUUAGAGCCAGUUUGCAGCGUUGUACAGUGUUGUACGAGAUCUUCAGUUUCUUGCCAAUUUCUCGCAUGGAACAGCCUUAAUUUCUCAGAACAAGAAUAGACUGGCGAGAUUCAGAAGAAAGGUCUUUGCUUCUGGCCAUUUUGAGCCUGUAAUCAAACCCACAAAUGCUGAUGCUCCAGAUACUCAACUAGUCUAAAGAAGGCCAGUUUUAUUGCUUCUUUAAUCAGAACAACAGCUUUCAGCUGUGCUAACAUAAUUGUAAAAGGGUUUUCUAAUGAUCAAUUAGCCUUUUAAAAUGAAAAACUUGGAUUAGCUAACACAACGUACCAUUAGAACACAGACGGGAUGGUUGUUGAUAAAGGGCCUCUGUACGCCUAUGUAGAUAUUCCAUUAAAAUUCAGCCGUUUCCAGCUACAAUAGUAAUUUACAACAUUAACAAUGUCUACAAUGUAUUUCUGAUUAAUUUAAUGUUAUUUUAAUGGACGAAAAAUAUGCUUUUCUUUCAAAAACAAGGACAUUUCUAAGUGACCCCAAACUUUUGAACGGUAGUGUAAUGUGGGUGUGUGCAUGAGCGAGUACAUGUGUGUUAAGGGGCAGAGAAUCAGAGCAGGUGGUCAGUCCAUUUCAAGUGUUCAACAGUCUGAUGGCUUGUAAAUAGAAAACUGUUGAUAUCAGACCUAAUGCUCGGAUACCAUCUGCCUGACUGGCUUGUGUGGGGUCCUUGAUGAUGCUGAGUGCCUUCCUCAGACACCGUUUCAUGUAGAUGUGCUGGAUGGGUGGGUGUAAUGUCCCAAUGAUGUACUGGGCCAUCUUCAUCAACCGUUGGAGGGCCUUGCGGUCAUGGAUGGAGAAAUUCCAGUACCAGGCCGCAUUUCUUCAGGCAUCUUAGAAAGUAGAGACGCUGUUGCGCCCUCUUGACAAGAGUGUGAUUUUGUUAGUCCCUGACAAGUCCUUGGUGAUGUGGAUGCCUAAGAACUUAAAACUCUCUCUACCGAAGUCCUGUUUAUGUGGAUCGCGGCAAGGACACCUGUAUCUUUGUAGUGACUGGGUGUAUUGAUACACCAUCCAAAGUGUAAUUAAUAACUUCACCAUGCUCAAAGGAAUAUUCAAUGUCUGCUUCUUUUUUUUUACCCAUCUACCAAUAGGUGUGCUUCUUUGUGAGGCAUUGGAAAACCUCCCUGGUACUUGUGGUUGAAUCUCGACUGAGGGACUGUACAGAUAAUUGUAUGUGUGGGAUACAGAGUCAUUCAAAAAUCAUGUUAAACACUAUUAUUGCACACAGAGUGAGUCCAUGCAACUUUCGUUACUUGUUAAGAACAUUUUUACUCGUGAACUUAUUUAGGCUUGCCAUAACAAAGGGGUUAAAUACAUAUUGAUUCAAGAGUGGGUACAGUGUGCCUGGUAUGCUGGCCUUGAUGUGGGCCAUGAACAGCCUCCCGAAGCCUUCACGAUGACUGAGGUGGGGACUGCAGCCUGGGACAGGGACAGAUUGAAGAUGUGCAAGAAGACGCCCGCAAGCUGGUUAACACACACUCUGAGGACGUGGCCAGAGUUCCUACCUGCUUGCCUUGUAUGCGUUGCGUCGCGUGCCAGAGUCAUCAGGGUUCGUUCUGCUGACAUGAAUGCUGCAGUACUGGCUCUCAGCAUUCAACCUAUGAACAGACUCGGAUCAAACUUAAAAAGGUAGAGGAGAUUUCUGAUCUGCAGACGGACUCAGACAUGGAUGAAGAAGAGUCAACCUGACAGUAGUAACAGCGACAGCAGUACUACCCAAGGGGGAUGAUUUCCCUAUGAAUACUAUCCAGGAUGUGGAGGCGAUGGAGCAAAAUGUACUCGACAUAGCUUUCCUGAAUGGAAAAAACACCUUAUAGUAUUUCAUUAAUUACACAGUUAAUACAAUCCCCAAAGUUGUGCAUGUUAGCAAUCAAGUUAAGAUAAUUUUGGUCAAAUACUACAUCUGUUUGGGAUUCUUGUGGUCAAUUUGCAAUGUACAAAUGAUUUCUAACUAUGUUCCUGCCCCCCGAACAUCCGCUCAAGGAAAAUUGAAUUUUAAAAAAUUAUGUAAAUAAAAAAAUAUAAGAAAAUUGGCCCUCGGCUAGGCGAACACAACUAGUCAAGGUACCAGUCUGUUUAGCUAUCAUUUCACUCCUCGUCAUGCUAAACAUCUUAUCUUUGGCAUAUGACACAGAGUACAAGUGGAAUGUGUGAAGGUAAACAGACU